UACGAAGGGGGCUAGCGUUGCUCGGAAUCACUGGGCGUAAAGGGUGCGUAGGCGGGCCUUUAAGUCAGGGGUGAAAUCCUGGAGCUCAACUCCAGAACUGCCUUUGAUACUGCAAAUCUCGAGUCCGGAAGAGGUGAGUGGAAUUCCUAGUGUAGAGGUGAAAUUCGUAGAUAUCGGGAGGAACACCAGUGGCGAAGGCGACUACCUGGCCUGUUCUUGACGCUGAGGCGCGAAAGCUAGGGGAGCAAACGGG
This 253-nucleotide ribosomal RNA is filed under the name uncultured bacterium. RNAcentral's name for it is "partial 16S ribosomal RNA". It matches the Rfam family "Bacterial small subunit ribosomal RNA", at positions 524 to 776 of the family's 1533-position model. The record is from RNAcentral.